GCUACGAUGAUAGACAAACAAAUCGAUUAAUACAAAUAAUUUCACAAAACAUUUAAAUCACCAUCUUGUGACGUGGUGUCAUACAGAGUAUAAGCUUUAGUGUAGUGAGCUACGUAAAGCCAAUCUUCAAAGUGGCACGCCCGUCAUUCUGACAAUGGAGUUUCCAUACCAGUACUGUCACCGGGAGGUGCGACCCUGUACAUGGCAACAAGCAUUAGAGUUUGAAAAGUGAAAAAAUGGCAAUCGUACCUGCAACAAAGGUUUACCAUUUUAUUUAUAUUUCCUUGCUUUAAUAACGUUAUGGUUGUUUCAUCAUGAAGUAUGUUAUCUUAUAGUCUGCAGUCAAGCCAUGAAUACCAGAGAGCAUAUCAAAAGGAUUACCACCUGAUGUCAGAAGACGUCAGAGGCACACACAAUGAAGAGGAAAUAUGCAGAUGAAUUAAACCAAUUCAGUACUGCCCACCUCCUUAGCCAACAGGACAACACUUCUGCCAGACCCAUGGGAUGCUGAGUGGACUGCUGAGUGACACAUGGCGUUAAAGUUCCUGGCCCCAGUUGUGUUCUUGGGAGCAUAAGUGAAGACCCGCUGGUGAAGAUUCUCACAUUUGUUGGUUGUGGCGAGUUGGCAGACCUUCUCUCCAGAAUUGUUUACAGAUGACAGACUGAAUACUGUCCAUGUCUGCAUAGUCAAGGUCCAGAUGUUUUCCGUGUGGAAGGAACUUGGUGCUGUAGCCCGUGAGAUGGGCUGUGCAGGGUUCUUAGCUUGUGGAUGAAGCAGUGCUGAAUUGGUACUUCAUUCUCUCUAGAAUAGUCCCUUAUGGUCUUUUGGAUCUGAGCACUGGCAUCACUGGUAAUGGAACAAGGUUGAACAUAACUUAUUGGCAGUUUGGAGGGCCAAAACCAGUUUUCGGGAGGUGUUGUUUUCCACCGAAGCUCUGGGUUGCUGCCUCGAAUCCUGGCUGUGGCCUGUUGUUGUAAGAGGUGUCAGUCUCGAUGUGGACUUCGUUUCCUCGACCGAGAAAUUGGUUGACACGUCAGACAUACCGCUGAUUGUCGAUCAUCGAGGCUACGUUGAUUUCCUCCACUCUGUCACACAUCUGAUUGAGUUUCCGCUGCAGACCACGGCUGUCAGGUGGAUUUAUGUUGAGGCAGCACAUAAGGAAACGUGCAUCAGACACUCCCAUCUUAGACUUGGUGAGAGCCAGUACCAGUCCAUCAUUGAGGGCACUUGAUUCCGGUCCUCAAGUCUUCUUGACAGUUGUGUAGAGCUGCAUGUCUGGCUUGGCAGGUCGCAGUUUGGUUGGGAGGAUGAGAUCUUCAGUGGACAUACACACAGCAUCCCAGUAUUCAUCAAGACUUAUACGGUCCCACUCUGUGUUUUGGUCACAUGUACUCGAACUAGCAGGUGCAUCAACGUCUCGGAGGGCACCAGCUCGGGCGUCAGAAUGCUGAGGGAAAUAGGUCACAUUUUCAAGGUUUUUCAUAAAGGAAAAUACAAUGAAGAAGAUUCAGACAUCAUCACGUGGAUCAGUUAAAUUAAAGGAGGAAGAGAGACCCAUUCUCUACUACAGUAAACGUUACAAUUACCUUUUGGAAGAGGAUAGAAAAGAAAUUGUGAAAACACUUCUGCUUCUGAGAGUAAUGGAAAAUCGAGCAAGAACAAAAAAGAAAACCUAAAUAGUGUUAUAGAUUUUUUUAGAGUCAAUUUUCUAGGACUGGUCAUAGCUAGUUUAGACAAGAUAAUAUGCAAUUUUUUGAAUUGAUAAAUGAUGACUUAAUUGAAUUUAUUAAUUCAUAUGGAAAUUAAUACAUUGGAAACAAUGGCAGCUUAUUGUGAAUGUUAUUUAUAAUUCAAAAUGCAUUGUGUCUACCUGAUUUGAAAAAAUGCAUUGUGUAUGCUUUUUGAGCACUCAUCAUUGUUUUAUACAUUUUUAGGUGUCGUGAGUCACCCGUGACCUAUUUUUGCAAUUGGCAGUCAUCCUUCGGGUGUUAACAAUAGAACAUUUUUAAUUUCUUCUUGAUAGCUACUCUCCCAAUUCUUUUCAAAUUUGAUAUAGAACAUUUUUGGGACAAGGGGGACAUAAAUUGUAAAUUUUAGGACCCAUGAACCCCUGUGGCCAUAAGGGUGGGUGGGCCAAAAAUUGACCAGCUUUCAAAAAUCAUCUUCUUUACAAGCACACAUCUGUAAGAAAAACCAAAUACAUAGUGAUGUAGAGGAGGAUGGUCUACACUAAACAUAAAUUUCCUGAUUCUCGGGCUAGAGGUUCUGACAUUAAGAUAGGGCAUACUCAGGUGACCAAUAAGGCUUUUGGGCCUCUUGUUUUUAUUUCUUUUUAAAUUCCCUGAGUUUUACUGAUGGAAAUUAGUUCUUUGGCUGUGCUUGUCAACUUUUCACAUUUUCUUCUUUUUCUGCUGAACAAGAAGGCUAAUUUCAGCCAAACAUCCAAAAUUCAGGGAAUCUAGCAUCAUUCAGCUAUGUGCCAGUGAUGGUUUCCCGAAACGGGAUAAGUUUUUGAAAUAAUGAAAUUAAGUAAUAGUGAUUUUAAAAUUGUAGUACUUAGAUAUCAGUUAAUUCAAAUGAUGGCACUACAGUAAUGAUAGGGUGUACAUAAGAAUAUUAGAGAUGUUUGGCUUAGUAGUAUAUGAAGGUUCUUGUUAUAUUGAUUGGAAAAAAAAAUGAAGCACUGAAGGUUUAAUCUUGCAUUUUCAUUAUCAUAAACAAAAAGUGAGAUGGGGCCAACCAGCCAAU
Molecule: long non-coding RNA, 2749 nt
Organism: Ostrea edulis (European flat oyster)
Lineage: Eukaryota; Metazoa; Mollusca; Bivalvia; Ostreida; Ostreidae
Exons: 6
Source: RefSeq, a predicted model, not a curated record